RNAcentral lists this ribosomal RNA (642 nucleotides) under marine bacterium enrichment culture clone K04-F2-S3. RNAcentral describes it as "bacterial SSU rRNA". It matches the Rfam family "Bacterial small subunit ribosomal RNA", at positions 791 to 1433 of the family's 1533-position model. The record is from RNAcentral.
UAGUCCACGCCGUAAACGAUGUCUACUAGCCGUUGGGACUCUUGAAGUCUUAGUGGCGCAGCUAACGCACUAAGUAGACCGCCUGGGGAGUACGGCCGCAAGGUUAAAACUCAAAUGAAUUGACGGGGGCCCGCACAAGCGGUGGAGCAUGUGGUUUAAUUCGACGCAACGCGAAGAACCUUACCUGGCCUUGACAUGCAGAGAACUUUCCAGAGAUGGAUUGGUGCCUUCGGGAACUCUGACACAGGUGCUGCAUGGCCGUCGUCAGCUCGUGUCGUGAGAUGUUGGGUUAAGUCCCGUAACGAGCGCAACCCCUAUCCCUAGUUGCUAGCAGUUCGGCUGAGAACUCUAGGGAGACUGCCGGUGACAAACCGGAGGAAGGUGGGGAUGACGUCAGGUCAUCAUGGCCCUUACGGCCAGGGCUACACACGUGCUACAAUGGUGCGCACAGAGGGCUGCAAACCCGCGAGGGGGAGCCAAUCUCACAAAACGCAUCGUAGUCCGGAUCGCAGUCUGCAACUCGACUGCGUGAAGUCGGAAUCGCUAGUAAUCGUGAAUCAGAAUGUCACGGUGAAUACGUUCCCGGGCCUUGUACACACCGCCCGUCACACCAUGGGAGUGGAUUGCACCAGAAGUGGUUAG